GUUCCCGGGGCUUGUACACACCGCCCGUCACACCACGAAAGUGGGCAACACCCGAAGCCGGUGGCCUAACCCUUGUGGAGGGAGCCGUCGAAGGUGGGCUCGCGAUUGGGUG
This 112-nucleotide ribosomal RNA is filed under the name uncultured bacterium. RNAcentral's name for it is "partial 16S ribosomal RNA". It matches the Rfam family "Bacterial small subunit ribosomal RNA", at positions 1370 to 1482 of the family's 1533-position model. The record is from RNAcentral.